AGUGAACGCUGGCGGUAGGCCCAACACAUGCAAGUCGAACGGCAGCACAGUAAGAGCUUGCUCUUACGGGUGGCGAGUGGCGGACGGGUGAGGAAUACAUCGGAAUCUACUUUUUCGUGGGGGAUAACGUAGGGAAACUUACGCUAAUACCGCAUACGACCUACGGGUGAAAGCAGGGGAUCUUCGGACCUUGCGCGAUUGAAUGAGCCGAUGUCGGAUUAGCUAGUUGGCGGGGUAAAGGCCCACCAAGGCGACGAUCCGUAGCUGGUCUGAGAGGAUGAUCAGCCACACUGGAACUGAGACACGGUCCAGACUCCUACGGGAGGCAGCAGUGGGGAAUAUUGGACAAUGGGCGCAAGCCUGAUCCAGCCAUACCGCGUGGGUGAAGAAGGCCUUCGGGUUGCAAAGCCCUUUUGUUGGGAAAGAAAAGCAGCAGGUUAAUACCCCGCUGUUCUGACGGUACCCAAAGAAUAAGCACCGGCUAACUUCGUG
Molecule: ribosomal RNA, 492 nt
Filed under: uncultured bacterium
Lineage: Bacteria
Description: partial 16S ribosomal RNA
Rfam family: Bacterial small subunit ribosomal RNA
Source: RNAcentral